CCUACGGGUGGCAGCAGUGGGGAAUAUUGCGCAAUGGGCGAAAGCCUGACGCAGCGACGCCGCGUGAGGGAUGAAGGUCUUCGGAUCGUAAACCUCUGUCAGCAGGGAAGAACGGUCACUGUGCUAAUCAGCAGUGAAUUGACGGUACCUGCAAAGGUAGCACCGGCUAACUCCGUGCCAGCAGCCGCGGUAAUCCGGAGGGUGCGAGCGUUAAUCGGAAUUAGUGGGCGUAAAGCUCUCGUAGGCGGUAUGUCAAGUCAAGGGUGAAAUCCCCGCGCUCAACGUGGGAACUGCCUUUGAAACUGGCAAACUGGAGUGUGUGAGAGGAUAGUGGAAUUCCAGGUGUAGGAGUGAAAUGCGUAGAUAUCUGGAGGAACAUCAGUGGCGAAGGCGACUAUCUGGCACAUAACUGACGCUGAGGAGCGAAAGCGUGGGUAGCAAACAGGAUUAGAUACCCUUGUAGUC
This 465-nucleotide ribosomal RNA is filed under the name uncultured bacterium. Its description in RNAcentral is "partial 16S ribosomal RNA". It matches the Rfam family "Bacterial small subunit ribosomal RNA", at positions 338 to 795 of the family's 1533-position model. The record is from RNAcentral.